CNUGCAGUCGAGGGGUAGAGGAGAGCUUGCUUUCCUUGAGACCGGCGCACGGGUGCGUAACGCGUAUGCAACCUACCUUAAUCUGGGGGAUAGCCUCUCGAAAGAGAGAUUAACACCGCAUAAAAUCAAAGAACGGCAUCGUUUAAUGAUCAAAUAUUUAUAGGAUUAAGAUGGGCAUGCGUGACAUUAGCUAGUUGGUGAGGUAACGGCUCACCAAGGCGACGAUGUCUAGGGGAUCUGAGAGGAUGACCCCCCACACUGGUACUGAGACACGGACCAGACUCCUACGGGAGGCAGCAGUAAGGAAUAUUGGUCAAUGGAGGCAACUCUGAACCAGCCAUGCCGCGUGCAGGAAGACGGCCCUACGGGUUGUAAACUGCUUUUAUUCGGGAAUAAACCUUUUUACGUGUAAGAAGUUGAAUGUACCGAAAGAAUAAGGAUCGGCUAACUCCGUGCCAGCAGCCGCGGUAAUACGGAGGAUCCAAGCGUUAUCCGGAUUUAUUGGGUUUAAAGGGUGCGUAGGCGGCUUAUUAAGUCAGGGGUGAAAGACGGUGGCUCAACCAUCGCAGUGCCUUUGAUACUGAUGAGCUUGAAUACACUAGAGGUAGGCGGAAUGUGACAAGUAGCGGUGAAAUGCAUAGAUAUGUCACAGAACACCAAUUGCGAAGGCAGCUUACUAUGGUGUCAUUGACGCUGAGGCACGAAAGCGUGGGGAUCAAACAGGAUUAGAUACCCUGGUAGUCCACGCCCUAAACGAUGAAUACUCGAUGUUAGCGAUAUACAGUUAGCGUCUAAGCGAAAGCGUUAAGUAUUCCACC
RNAcentral lists this ribosomal RNA (818 nucleotides) under Sphingobacteriaceae bacterium 26-12PB. RNAcentral's name for it is "bacterial SSU rRNA". It matches the Rfam family "Bacterial small subunit ribosomal RNA", at positions 54 to 873 of the family's 1533-position model. The record is from RNAcentral. Lineage: Bacteria; Pseudomonadati; Bacteroidota; Sphingobacteriia; Sphingobacteriales; Sphingobacteriaceae.